RNAcentral lists this ribosomal RNA (253 nucleotides) under uncultured bacterium. RNAcentral describes it as "partial 16S ribosomal RNA". It matches the Rfam family "Bacterial small subunit ribosomal RNA", at positions 524 to 776 of the family's 1533-position model. The record is from RNAcentral.
UACGUAGGGUGCGAGCGUUAAUCGGAAUUACAGGGCGUAAAGCGUGCGCAGGCGGUUUGUUAAGACAGAUGUGAAAUCCCCGGGCUUAACCUGGGAACUGCAUUUGUGACUGGCAAGCUAGAGUAUGGCAGAGGGGAGUAGAAUUCCACGUGUAGCAGUGAAAUGCGUAGAGAUGUGGAGGAAUACCGAUGGCGAAGGCAGCCCCCUGGGCCAAUACUGACGCUCAUGCACGAAAGCGUGGGGAGCAAACAGG